Molecule: ribosomal RNA, 174 nt
Filed under: uncultured bacterium
Lineage: Bacteria
Description: partial 16S ribosomal RNA
Rfam family: Bacterial small subunit ribosomal RNA
Source: RNAcentral
CUCGGCUCGACUGAAGAACUGCAACUAAAACUAUAUUUCUUGAGUGCAGGAGAGGAAAGUGGAAUUCCUAGUGUAGCGGUGAAAGGCGUAGAUAUUAGGAGGAACACCAGUGGCGAAGGCGACUUUCUGGACUGUAACUGACGUUGAGGCACGAAAGUGUGGGGAGCAAACAGG